UACGUAGGCAGCAAGCGUUGUUCGGAGUUACUGGGCGUAAAGGGUGCGUAGGCGGCUCUAUAAGUAUGGUGUGAAAUCUCCCGGCUUAACUGGGAGGGUGCGCUAUAGACUGUGGGGCUAGAGUGUGGGAGAGGAAAGUGGAAUUCCUGGUGUAGCGGUGAAAUGCGUAGAUAUCAGGAGGAACACCGGUGGUGUAAACGGCUUUCUGGACCAUAACUGACGCUGAGGCACGAAAGCGUGGGUAGCAAACAGGAUUAGAUACCCUGGUAGUCCACGCCCUAAACGAUGCAUAUUUGGUGUGGGUCAUUCAGUUGAUCCGUGCCGGAGCUAACGCGUUAAAUAUGCCGCCUGGGGAGUACAGUCGCAAGGCUGAA
Molecule: ribosomal RNA, 374 nt
Filed under: uncultured bacterium
Lineage: Bacteria
Description: bacterial SSU rRNA
Rfam family: Bacterial small subunit ribosomal RNA
Source: RNAcentral